AGAAAGACCAUCAUCAAGUUUUCUUCACAUAAUAUUGAAUAUUACAAUGGCAGUGGUUGCUCAGAUUACUUCAAAUGACCCAAUCAGUCAAUUGAAGAUUGACGGAUGCCUCAUUUGUCCAAGCAAGUGGAUACAAAUUCCUAAUGUCUCAGAGGUUUGUGUGCAAAAUAUUGCAAAGUUUGCUGUGGACGACUACAACCUCCAACAUAAGGAGAGUUUCAAAUACAAGAGCAUUAAAUGUGGUUGGUUUAUGGAGCUGAAGGGUGAAGACCUGGACUUCUGCCUCCAUAUUGAGGUGAAAGACUGUUUGGGACGUAUCUUUGAACUGGAUGUCGUAGUUUCUGAAAAGAAAACAUAUUUCGAAAAAAUCAGAAAGCUUGAAUCGGCCAAACUUAUUAAGAAAAACUAAUCAAACACUAGUUUGUUCGUUGUAACCUUAUGAAGUACUACUACCAUUGAUUAUCUAAUAUAAAUAAUAAAAUAAUAAUAUGAAAUAAACUUUUAAGGUACACUUAUCUCUA
Cucurbita moschata (crookneck pumpkin) is the source of this 521-nucleotide long non-coding RNA. RefSeq lists it as uncharacterized. Lineage: Eukaryota; Viridiplantae; Streptophyta; Magnoliopsida; Cucurbitales; Cucurbitaceae. The transcript is spliced from 2 exons. The record is from RefSeq and is a predicted model, not a curated record.